GGCGAACGCUGGCGGCGUGCUUAACACAUGCAAGUCGAACGGUGAAGGGACCGGUUUUUGCUGGUUCUGGAUGAGUGGCGAACGGGUGAGUAACACGUGAGUAACCUGCCCCCUUCUUCUGGAUAACCGCAUGAAAGUGUGGCUAAUACGGGAUAUUCUGCGCCUGCUGCAUGGUGGGUGUGGGAAAGAUAUUGUUUCGGUGGGGGAUGGGCUCGCGGCCUAUCAGCUUGUUGGUGGGGUGAUGGCCUACCAAGGCGGUGACGGGUAGCCGGCCUGAGAGGGUGGACGGUCACACUGGGACUGAGACACGGCCCAGACUCCUACGGGAGGCAGCAGUGGGGAAUAUUGCACAAUGGGCGCAAGCCUGAUGCAGCGACGCCGCGUGAGGGAUGGAGGCCUUCGGGUUGUAAACCUCUUUCGCCAGUGAAGCAGGCCUGUCCCUUUUGUGGGUGGGUUGACGGUAGCUGGAUAAGAAGCGCCGGCUAACUACGUG
RNAcentral lists this ribosomal RNA (493 nucleotides) under uncultured bacterium. RNAcentral's name for it is "partial 16S ribosomal RNA". It matches the Rfam family "Bacterial small subunit ribosomal RNA", at positions 28 to 507 of the family's 1533-position model. The record is from RNAcentral.